This 253-nucleotide ribosomal RNA is filed under the name uncultured bacterium. Its description in RNAcentral is "partial 16S ribosomal RNA". It matches the Rfam family "Bacterial small subunit ribosomal RNA", at positions 524 to 776 of the family's 1533-position model. The record is from RNAcentral.
UACGUAGGGGGCAAGCGUUAUCCGGAUUUACUGGGUGUAAAGGGAGCGCAGGCGGCCUGGCAAGCCUGAUGUGAAAGCCUUCGGCUUAACCGGAGUAGUGCAUUGGAAACUGGGAGACUUGAGUGCAGAAGAGGAGAGUGGAACUCCAUGUGUAGCGGUGAAAUGCGUAGAUAUAUGGAAGAACACCAGUGGCGAAAGCGGCUCUCUGGUCUGUAACUGACGCUGAGGUUCGAAAGCGUGGGUAGCAAACAGG